Molecule: ribosomal RNA, 433 nt
Filed under: uncultured bacterium
Lineage: Bacteria
Description: partial 16S ribosomal RNA
Rfam family: Bacterial small subunit ribosomal RNA
Source: RNAcentral
AACGAACGCUGGCGGCAUGCCUAACACAUGCAAGUCGAACGAAGCCUUCGGGCUUAGUGGCGCACGGGUGCGUAACGCGUGGGAAUCUGCCCCUUGCUUCGGAAUAACAGUUAGAAAUGACUGCUAAUACCGGAUGAAGUCUUCGGACCAAAGAUUUAUCGGCAAGGGAUGAGCCCGCGUAGGAUUAGGUAGUUGGUGGGGUAAAGGCCUACCAAGCCGACGAUCCUUAGCUGGUCUGAGAGGAUGAUCAGCCACACUGGGACUGAGACACGGCCCAGACUCCUACGGAAGGGAGCAGUAGAGAAUAUUGGACAAUGGACGCAAGUCUGAUCCAGCAAUGCCGCGUGAGUGAUGAAGGCCUUAGGGUUGUAAAGCUCUUUUACCAGGGAUGAUAAUGACAGUACCUGGAGAAUAAGCUCCGGCUAACUCCGUG